CUUCAGGUCUCUGAGCUUGACCAGUGUUUCAGCUCUCCCUUGGAGUCCCGGGAAACGUAUCUCUUGGGAUCAGGAGCUGGGAUGGAACCCAGGGCUCCUGAGAUGGGACAAAGCUAUGCUCUGUGCACCUGUCUUGCCUCCUCACUUUGUACAAUGAGUGUGCCUUCAGCCAAAAGCAGAACUGGAAACAUCCUAAGUGGGCCGGUAACGAGGCUAGCUCUGUCGACUAGUUCAAGACCCCUGAGCGCUUUGGGCCUGAGGUUCCUCAGCUUCCAAGUGAAAGGCUUCGACUUGGCAUUCUAAGAGACAAUCUCUGUGACCAUCAGUUUCCUCAUCUGUAAAACUGGCAUCAUGAUAACUUUGAAGGUAAUUGUGAAGAUUAAAGGGAGUCAUGCAUGUAAACCA
This 405-nucleotide long non-coding RNA is filed under the name Homo sapiens (human). RNAcentral describes it as "non-protein coding lnc-CCDC117-1:7". Lineage: Eukaryota; Metazoa; Chordata; Mammalia; Primates; Hominidae. The record is from RNAcentral.